AACGUAGGUCCCGAGCGUUAUCCGGAUUUACGGGGCGUAAAGCGUGUUCAGGCGGCCUGGCAAGUCGGGCAUGAAAUCUCUCGGCUCAACCGGGAGGGGCUGUCCGAUACUGCUGGGCUUGAGGGCAGGAGAGGGUGGUGGAAUUCCGGGUGUAGUGGUGAAAUGCGUAGAGAUCCGGAGGAACACCAGUGGCGAAAGCGGCCACCUGGCCUGCACCUGACGCUCCAACACGAAAGCUAGGGGAGCGAACGGG
Molecule: ribosomal RNA, 253 nt
Filed under: uncultured bacterium
Lineage: Bacteria
Description: partial 16S ribosomal RNA
Rfam family: Bacterial small subunit ribosomal RNA
Source: RNAcentral